AGGACACUAGAACUCAGCCCUCCUUCUAGCGCCAAUGUUAACGCCAGGAUCUUUCUCCACGUCCCAAUCACGAAAGACGUUCUGAUCCUGCACAGUAAACACGACAAACACCACAAACUUGAUGGCCGGACCGCCGAGGGAUAGCUCAGGCGUGGGAGUAAGUAUGUCUGUUCACAAGGUUAACUCAAGAGGAUGAUAAAAUCUAGUGUGAUGAGAGAGAUUAUUAUUAUCAGUUGUGUAAAUGUGAAUAUAUGAAAAACAUACCUUCC
Molecule: long non-coding RNA, 269 nt
Filed under: Panax ginseng (ginseng)
Lineage: Eukaryota; Viridiplantae; Streptophyta; Magnoliopsida; Apiales; Araliaceae
Description: long non-coding RNA (PGIN_LNC009839)
Source: RNAcentral